GCAGAAUUGGAGGGGCAGCAGGAAGAGGGCGAAGGUCCCGACGACUUCCUGGCACCUUUGGAACCUGACUUUGGGCCCCCGCC
This is a long non-coding RNA of Myotis brandtii (Brandt's bat), 83 nucleotides long. RefSeq lists it as uncharacterized. Lineage: Eukaryota; Metazoa; Chordata; Mammalia; Chiroptera; Vespertilionidae. The record is from RefSeq and is a predicted model, not a curated record. The transcript is spliced from 3 exons.